GUGGAUUAGAUACCCUAGUAGUCUAUGCUGUAAACGAUGUGCACUUGGUGUUGGGCCGAUUAGGUUCAGUGCCGAAGCUAACGCGAUAAGUGCACCGCCUGGGGAGUAUGCUCGCAAGGGUGAAACUCAAAGGAAUUGACGGGGGCCCGCACAAGCGGUGGAUUAUGUGGUUUAAUUCGAUGAUACGCGAGAAACCUUACCAGGGUUUGACAUGUGCAGGAAUAAGCUAGAGAUAGUUUAGCCCGCAAGGGUCUGUACACAGGUGCUGCACGGCCGUCGCCAGCU
Molecule: ribosomal RNA, 285 nt
Filed under: uncultured bacterium
Lineage: Bacteria
Description: partial 16S ribosomal RNA
Rfam family: Bacterial small subunit ribosomal RNA
Source: RNAcentral